UUCUCUGUAGCUUGAACGGUAAAGAAUCUACCUGCAGUGCAGGAGACCCGGGUUCAAUCCCUGGCUUGGAAA
RNAcentral lists this transfer RNA (72 nucleotides) under Ovis aries (sheep). It matches the Rfam family "tRNA". From Rfam's summary of the family: Transfer RNA (tRNA) molecules are approximately 80 nucleotides in length. Their secondary structure includes four short double-helical elements and three loops (D, anti-codon, and T loops). The record is from Rfam by way of RNAcentral. Lineage: Eukaryota; Metazoa; Chordata; Mammalia; Artiodactyla; Bovidae.